UGGGGAAUAUUGCACAAUGGGCGCAAGCCUGAUGCAGCGACGCCGCGUGCGGGAUGACGGCCUUCGGGUUGUAAACCGCUUUUGACAGGGACGAAGCGCAAGUGACUGUACCUGUAGAAUAAGGACCGGCCAACUACGUGCCAGCAGCCGCGGUAAUACGUAGGGUCCGAGCGUUGUCCGGAAUUACUGGGCGUAAAGAGCUUGUAGGCGGUUCGUCGCGUCGUUUGUGAAAACUUGGGGCUCAACCUUAAGCUUGCAGGCGAUACGGGCGGACUAGAGUACUUCAGGGGAGACUGGAAUUCCUGGUGUAGCGGUGAAAUGCGCAGAUAUCAGGAGGAACACCGGUGGCGAAGGCGGGUCUCUGGGAAGUAACUGACGCUGAGAAGCGAAAGCAUGGGUAGCAAACAGG
This 409-nucleotide ribosomal RNA is filed under the name Bacillota bacterium. RNAcentral's name for it is "Firmicutes bacterium partial 16S ribosomal RNA". It matches the Rfam family "Bacterial small subunit ribosomal RNA", at positions 355 to 776 of the family's 1533-position model. The record is from RNAcentral. RNAcentral also lists the same sequence under 2 other names. Lineage: Bacteria; Bacillati; Bacillota.